RNAcentral lists this ribosomal RNA (226 nucleotides) under uncultured bacterium. Its description in RNAcentral is "partial 16S ribosomal RNA". It matches the Rfam family "Bacterial small subunit ribosomal RNA", at positions 526 to 779 of the family's 1533-position model. The record is from RNAcentral.
CGUAGAAGACUAGUGUUAUUCGUAUUUAAUAGGUUUAAAGGGUACCUAGACGGCUUUUAUUAGCCCCAAUAGGGUACAAUUAAGCUAGAGUUAUAUAAGAGGAGGGGAGUACUCGUGGUGUUGAGAGAUUAAAUUUGGUCAUACCUAGGGGACUGGUAGAGGCGAAGGCAACCUCCUAUCUAUUAACUGACGUUGAGGGACGAAGGCUUGGGUAACAAACAGGAUU